Molecule: ribosomal RNA, 679 nt
Filed under: uncultured fungus
Lineage: Eukaryota; Fungi
Description: eukaryotic LSU rRNA
Rfam family: 5.8S ribosomal RNA (bases 216-369)
Source: RNAcentral
UAGAAGAGAUGAUAUCUUGCAGCAUAUCUUAAUACGACGUGAGGGAUAGAUGGCUGGCCGACAACCCCUAGGGGCGUGCUAUGUGCACGCCUGCACACUUCAUCCACACACACCUGUGCACUUGUGAGACGGAGGAUUAAUUACCUCCGUCUACUAAUCACACAAACUCAUUGUAAUUGAACUGAAUGUAAUUGAUGUAACGCAUCAUUUGAACUAAGUUUCAACAACGGAUCUCUUGGCUCUCGCAUCGAUGAAGAACGCAGCGAAAUGCGAUAAGUAAUGUGAAUUGCAGAAUUCAGUGAAUCAUCGAAUCUUUGAACGCAUCUUGCGCUCCUUGGUAUUCCUUGGAGCAUGCCUGUUUGAGUAUCAUGAGCAAAUCUCAAAGUCAAUUCCUUUUGUUAAUUCAAUUGGUUUUGCUUUGGACUUGGAGGUCUUGCAGAUUUCACAGUCUGCUCCUCUUAAAUGCAUUAGCUGGAUCUCAGUAAUUAUGCUUGGUUCCACUCGGCGUGAUAAGUAUCACUCGCUGAGGACACUGUAAAAAAGGUGGCCCAGGAAAAUACUGAUUGAACCGCCUUCUACCGGGUCUAUUAAGUUAGACCAUUGGAACCCCUNAAGUUUGGAUCUCCAAAUCAGGGUAGGACUACCGGCUGAACUUAGCAUAUCAAUAGCGAAGGGAAAA